UCGAUUUGGAGUUUGUUGCCUAGAGUGAUGGGCUCCGAAGCUAACGCGAUAAAUCGACCGCCUGGGGAGUACGGCCGCAAGGUUAAAACUCAAAUGAAUUGACGGGGGCCCGCACAAGCGGUGGAGCAUGUGGUUUAAUUCGAUGCAACGCGAAGAACCUUACCUGGUCUUGACAUCCACAGAAUUUUUCAGAGAUGAGAGAGUGCCUUCGGGAACUGUGAGACAGGUGCUGCAUGGCUGUCGUCAGCUCGUGUUGUGAAAUGUUGGGUUAAGUCCCGCAACGAGCGCAACCCUUAUCCUUUGUUGCCAGCGAUUAGGUCGGGAACUCAAAGGAGACUGCCGUUGAUAAAACGGAGGAAGGUGGGGACGACGUCAAGUCAUCAUGGCCCUUACGACCAGGGCUACACACGUGCUACAAUGGCGUAUACAAAGGGAAGCGAAGGUGCGAGCUGGAGCGGACCUCCUAAAGUACGUCUAAGUCCGGAUUGGAGUCUGCAACUCGACUCCAUGAAGUCGGAAUCGCUAGUAAUCGUGAAUCAGAAUGUCACGGUGAAUACGUUCCCGGGCCU
Molecule: ribosomal RNA, 569 nt
Filed under: uncultured Gammaproteobacteria bacterium
Lineage: Bacteria; Pseudomonadati; Pseudomonadota; Gammaproteobacteria
Description: bacterial SSU rRNA
Rfam family: Bacterial small subunit ribosomal RNA
Source: RNAcentral